AGUUUGAUCCUGGCUCAGAUUGAACGCUGGCGGCAGGCCUAACACAUGCAAGUCGAGCGGAAACGAUCCUAGCUUGCUAGGAGGCGUCGAGCGGCGGACGGGUGAGUAAUGCAUAGGAAUCUACCCAGUCGUGGGGGAUAACCUGAGGAAACUCAGGCUAAUACCGCAUACGUCCUACGGGAGAAAGCGGGGGCUCUUCGGACCUCGCGCGAUUGGAUGAGCCUAUGUCGGAUUAGCUUGUUGGUAAGGUAACGGCUUACCAAGGCGACGAUCCGUAGCUGGUCUGAGAGGAUGAUCAGCCACACCGGGACUGAGACACGGCCCGGACUCCUACGGGAGGCAGCAGUGGGGAAUAUUGGACAAUGGGCGAAAGCCUGAUCCAGCCAUGCCGCGUGUGUGAAGAAGGCUUUCGGGUUGUAAAGCACUUUCAGCGAGGAAGAAAGCGUGCCGGCCAAUACCCGGUACGGACGACAUCACUCGCAGAAGAAGCACCGGCUAACUCCGUGCCAGCAGCCGCGGUAAUACGGAGGGUGCAAGCGUUAAUCGGAAUUACUGGGCGUAAAGCGCGCGUAGGCGGCGUGUCACGCCGGGUGUGAAAGCCCCGGGCUCAACCUGGGAACGGCAUCCGGAACGGGCAGGCUAGAGUGCAGGAGAGGAAGGUAGAAUUCCCGGUGUAGCGGUGAAAUGCGUAGAGAUCGGGAGGAAUACCAGUGGCGAAGGCGGCCUUCUGGACUGACACUGACGCUGAGGUGCGAAAGCGUGGGUAGCAAACAGGAUUAGAUACCCUGGUAGUCCACGCCGUAAACGAUGUCGACUAGCCGUUGGGUCCCUUGAGGACUUAGUGGCGCAGUUAACGCGAUAAGUCGACCGCCUGGGGAGUACGGCCGCAAGGUUAAAACUCAAAUGAAUUGACGGGGGCCCGCACAAGCGGUGGAGCAUGUGGUUUAAUUCGAUGCAACGCGAAGAACCUUACCUACCCUUGACAUCCUGCGAACCCGGAAGAGAUUCCGGGGUGCCUUCGGGAGCGCAGAGACAGGUGCUGCAUGGCUGUCGUCAGCUCGUGUUGUGAAAUAUUGGGUUAAGUCCCGUAACGAGCGCAACCCUUGUCCCUAUUUGCCAGCGAUUCGGU
Molecule: ribosomal RNA, 1129 nt
Filed under: Chromohalobacter sp.
Lineage: Bacteria; Pseudomonadati; Pseudomonadota; Gammaproteobacteria; Oceanospirillales; Halomonadaceae
Description: bacterial SSU rRNA
Rfam family: Bacterial small subunit ribosomal RNA
Source: RNAcentral